CACCCUAACACAAACCAAGACCUAGUCGAUCAAGAUCAGAUGAGGAGGAAAGCCUCCUCAGUGGCUCCUCUACAUCCCCAUAACCUCGCUAAGGGCAGAGGGAAAACGCUCGCCUAAAGGGAAAAUCCUCAUCCAAAUAAAAAGAAAAAGGGAGAUAAAAAGGGAAGGCGACAAACUACACCAGUGAUAAGUGAAAAACAAACUACGUCAAAGACACAAGGGACCUCAUCUCAACGAGAAAGAAUAUUCCUAUCAAAAACCCUCAGUUGCUAAGAGGGAACUCAACACAGGUCG
RNAcentral lists this long non-coding RNA (294 nucleotides) under Elaeis guineensis (African oil palm). Its description in RNAcentral is "long non-coding RNA (EGUI_LNC052535)". The record is from RNAcentral. Lineage: Eukaryota; Viridiplantae; Streptophyta; Magnoliopsida; Arecales; Arecaceae.